GGUGAUUGUAGAACAAGACAUUUAUUGCUGUGACAUAUAUUUUUUGCUUCUGUGGGCUGAGGUUCUGCAGUACCAAUCAAAUAUAGUUGUUUCAAAUAAGGUUCGCAGUUCAGUUACUGGACCUAUGCUGGUCCAUGGCUAGACCAGUACGGCCUCCGAUCCGUUCUGGCAUACCAUGUGUCAGUAUGUCAGAAUGUACCACAAACUGAUUGAGGGAGGAAGAGGAGGGGAGGAAGAAGGAAGAGAAAGCAAAGGAAGAAGAAAGCAGAAGAAGAAGAGGGAGGAAGAGGAGGGGAGGAAGAAGGUAGAGAAAGCAGAGGAAGAAAGAAGUAGAAGAAGAAGAGGGAGGAGGAGGAGGAGGAGGAGGAGGGGAGGAAGAAGGAAACAGAAGAAGAAGAGGGAGGAGGAGAAGAGGAGGAAGCAUACCCAAAAUCAUGUCGGCGGUGCAUGGUGGGUGGUGGAGGAAGAGGGAGUUGCGAGCCCUAAUUAUGGCUUCUUUCUCUUUGAACAAUUCUUUUUUGGUUAAUUGACCAGAUCAGACGGUCCGAAAUGGGGGCUGUCCGUGUCUCAGUUUGGGCUCAAACUUGUAAAUUUUGCCUGGUAUAAACCAAACCGGGUGAAAUUGCCACCACUGAUUUUAAAUGGACUUAUGGUUGUUGUCGGUUGUUCACUCUAGCUUCCACUAGUUUUUUUACAGGUUGGCUGGGUUGAUUUGGGCCCAUGAUAAAGUUGAUGUAACUAUUUAUUUGUUGGCUACAUAUUGCAGGAGAGUAAGGGAAAAUAGAUGGAAUGGUGGAGGUUGGUUUCUAAAGGACUGCACCAAGAAGGCUGUAGCAUGAAUAGAAAAUAUGAG
Molecule: long non-coding RNA, 853 nt
Filed under: Musa acuminata (dwarf banana)
Lineage: Eukaryota; Viridiplantae; Streptophyta; Magnoliopsida; Zingiberales; Musaceae
Description: long non-coding RNA (MACU_LNC004429)
Source: RNAcentral